RNAcentral lists this long non-coding RNA (2226 nucleotides) under Helianthus annuus (common sunflower). Its description in RNAcentral is "hypothetical non coding rna". The record is from RNAcentral. Lineage: Eukaryota; Viridiplantae; Streptophyta; Magnoliopsida; Asterales; Asteraceae.
UCAGUAUCCAGCUGAGUUACCUUGUCUGUAGAGUCUUGCAGUUGCUGGUUCAGAUGUAUCUUUUCUUCUUCAAGAGUGGCUAUUGUUGACGUAAGCUCGGUUAUCUUAACAGAAAACUGUGCGACUUCUUCUUCCAGUUUCGCGACCAGUGAUUUUGAUUCUUCUAAAUCGGCCUUUAGUGAUUUCAACUCGUGUUCAUAUUCUGCCUGAGAUUUCUGAGAUUCAAACAAAAGGGUGUCGUAAUCACUUGACAGCUGGCUGAAACGAUCCUCCUUUUGUGCGAAUUCGCUUUUUGAUUCAACCAAAAUUGCGUCAAGAGCUUCCUUUUCCUUUCUUGCUUCGGCUAGUUCUUCUUGAAUCUCGUGAAGCUUCAGUUUGACUUCUUCCAGUUCGGAUUCUUUCGCUUGAAGAUCUUCUAUCUUCUUUGGUUGAUGAUUCAGAAGCCUUUUUCAGAUUCAGUUCUUCGGUCAGUUCACUUAUUUUAGCCUCUUGUGAAUCGUAUUUUUGAUGGAUUUCCGAAACCUGUGAUUUUGAAGCAUCUAAUUCUUCUUGGACUACAGAUAAGUCAACGAUGGUCUUCUUGAGUGCUUCUUCAACCUUUUCAUUCUCUUUUUUGAGGCUUUCGGUCUCACUUUCUAAAUUUGUUCGUAUCUGCCAAAGCUGAUCUAACUCGUCUUUUAGCGAAACAGCUUUUUCAGUUGCUUCAGCUAACUGGGUCUCGAGAGUCGUUGAUUUCUCAAGCAACGAUUUGGCCUCCUCGUCUCUGCUAGUGAAGUUUGCAACUGAUUCUUGUAAUUUCAGAUCAAAAUCUCUAGUGCGGGUUUCGUGUAGCGUUUUUGCCCUUGCUUCAUCUAGUUGUUCCUCAGCUAACUUAAGCUUGUUCAUGACUUCUGUUUCUCUGAUUCUGGAAGCUUCCAGAUCACUAACGACAGUUUCCAGUUGCUGCUGAGAGAAUUUGAGUUCGUUUCUUAAUACUUCUAGAAGGUUUUCUGCUUCCACAAGUUGCUCGGAUGAUUUCUUUGAGACGUCUUCUAACUGUUUUUUCUCGGUCCUUGCUAAAUCCAAAGAUUCCGUCAACUCUUGCUCCUUUUUAGUGGCGGUUUCCGGUGCACCCUCGAGAACCGUUGCUUGUGAUCUCAAAGCUUCUAUUACUGCUUCGAGUUCGGUAGCUUUUUGAGAAUGGUUUCUAGAACUUUCUUCCAUGUCGCCACAUUUCUUCUCCAGUGUGCUUAUUUGCUCUUCAAGCUCCUUGAUUCUUUCCUUUUCUGCUUCUAGAAGCAACUCCAAAUCACUUGCCUUUUUAUCUGCAUUCUCGGCUUUUGAAUUCAAAUUCUGAAUUAUAUCUUCGAGCUCAAUACUACGUUGGUGGCUCGUGUUGGCUCUUUCUUCAGGAUCAGUUGGCUUUUCAAGUACAGUUCUAAGCUCCAAUUCAAGCUUUGAGUUGCGUGAGGAUGAUUGAGUCAACUCAGUUUCCAGCUGAGUUACUUUAUCUAUGGAGUCUUGCAUUAGCUGACUUAGAUGUUUCUUUUCUUCUUCAAGAGUCGCUAUUGUUGAGGUAAGUUGCGCAAGCUCUUUUUCCAUUUUCUCCCCAACUGAUUUUGAUUCGGUCAACUCUUGCUCCUUUUUAGUGGCAGUUUCUAGUGCAACCUCCAAUGACAGUGUCAAUUCUUGCUCCUUUUUAGUGGCGGUUUCAAGUGCACCCUCGAGAACCGUUGCUCUUGAUCUCAAUGCUUCAAUUUCUGCUUCGAGUUCAGAUACUUUUUGUGAAUAGUUUCUAGAAUCUUCUUCUGUGUCACUACAUUUCUUCUCCAGUGUCGUUAUUUGUUCUUCAAGCUCUUGAAUUCUUUUCUUUUCCGCUUCUAGAAGCAACUCUAUUUCACUUGCCUUUUUACCUGCAUUCUCGGCUUUCGAAUUCAAAUUCUGAAUUAUAUCUUCGAGCUCAAUACUACGUUGGUGGCUCGUGUAGGCUCUUUCUUCAGGAUCAGUUGGCUUUUCAAGUACAGUUUUAAGCUCCAAUUCAAGCUUUGAGUUGCGUGAGGAUGAUUGAGUCAACUCAGUUUCCAGCUGAGUUACUUUAUCUAUGGAGUCUUGCAUUUGCUGACUUAGAUGUUUCUUUUCUUCUUCAAGAGUCGCUAUUGUUGAGUUUCUAGUGCACCCUCCAAUGACAGUGUCAAUUCUUGCUCCUUUUUAGUGGCGGUUUCAAGUGCACCCUCGAGAACCGUUGCU